CCCCUUUUACGACAGUCCCGAGAGGGCCUGGCCGCCUGCCCCGCCCUGCCCCGCGCCCCGCCGCCUGCUUAUUCAGGAGGCGCGCCCCGCUCCUCUGCGGAGACUCCAAGGAGGGUUUUGCUCAGCCCAGGCUCGCACCUGCCUGCUCCCCGCGCGACAUUAAAGGCGAGACUCCGCCGUCUGGAUAUCGCAGGACCACGGAGAAUCCCACCGGCCCUUGCUGAGUCAUUGCGGGCCGAGGUCCGGGCUCCGCGCCGGCGCGCCUGCGAGGUGGACUGUCCCGGUCACCGGCCUCCCCAGAGGCAGGGGUCUCGGGCCAGAGCCCACAGGACCUGGGUCUAAGGCACCAUCCGCGGCCGAGCAGUGGCGCUGGGGUCUGUCUGCGUCCUCCCCGCCCCCGGGGUGAGACAGACAGGACCGCCCUAGAGCCUCUGGGUCAGGACAGUCGGAGCCAGAGUCCCCAUCUGGGCCUCCGUGGCCCCCAGCCCGUGAGCCCAGACUGCGCUCUCCCCGCUCCACAGGCCAGCUGCUGGGCCGGGGCUGGGGGGCUUCUGGUGGCUGGGGCUGAACCGUCUAGGAACAGGCUUUAAUAGGAGGGGCUCGGGUGGAGGAAUGGCUCCUGCAAAGGCCCUGCCAGAGUCAGGUCAGGUGGGUGGGCGAGAGGACCAGUGUGGCCAGGCUGCGGAAGCCAGCACAGGAGACAAGGGCGGGUGCUGUGCAUUACAGAGGCUGCUGGGGGCUUGUCCAUAGAGCAGCAGGGGGCACGGAAGGGCUUGGGGACGCAGACACGAUCAGACUUGCAUUUCAUCAGGCACUCUUUAGCUGCCUGCUGGGUGGCUGGGCUGUGUGAGAUGACCCUGCUUUGACCAGGUUAGGAAUUAUGACUGGUUUCCAGAGAGAACAUUGGUUAGUAAUUGGCUAUGGGGAAGAGGGGGCGUUGAGCCAACCAACUGGGGUCCCCCUGAAGUGCCAGCAAAGUGUCUGGUUUUCUCCAGGAUCUGUUUCCUCAGUCCCUGGCAGGAUUGGCUCCCCUGCACGCCAUGUCCUUGUGGUCCCUUCCAGACAGAAACCAGGCAUGAAUAAAGUGAAUAAUGACAAGCGCUCA
Homo sapiens (human) is the source of this 1105-nucleotide long non-coding RNA. The record is from Ensembl. NCBI's taxonomy places the organism in Eukaryota, Metazoa, Chordata, Mammalia, Primates, Hominidae.